Bufo bufo (common toad) is the source of this 1504-nucleotide long non-coding RNA. RefSeq lists it as uncharacterized. The transcript has 2 exons. NCBI's taxonomy places the organism in Eukaryota, Metazoa, Chordata, Amphibia, Anura, Bufonidae. The record is from RefSeq and is a predicted model, not a curated record.
UCUAUGGAUCCAUUUUGCUUCUUCCUGGAGAAGCUUCUGGUCCAGAUUGCCACUUCUUGGUCCCAAUUAGAUUUUUUAGCCAGUCCCCAAAAUUUUAGGACUUCUAGAUUUCCACUAUGAGUAUACGUGAUAUGUCUAUAAAGUGAAGUGUCCUUUUCCGUAUCGGUACCGUAUAGGUGCUAUGAUUGCAACCAUCAACAAAUAAUGACGAUUUUGAGAAAACAUUGGAAAAUACUCACCAGUGAUGGAGAACUGAAGAAGGUAUUAUCACCAUACCCCAGCGUCACAUAUAGAAGGGUCAGAACCUCAGGGAAAACGUUUUCUACCUACAAGAGAGACAAAAAGUGAAAAUUGGUUAAAAUCUAGUAUUGUGGGUUCCUUCCCAUGUGGCAAUUGCACAUUUUGUAAAUAUAUUCAGAGAAUAAAGAAAUGUAAGAACCCAGUUGAUGUACGUGAAUAUAUAAUUAGAGAUUUCUUCUUUAAUUGCCGCAGUAGUGGCAUUAUUUACGUGGCGUCGUGCACCUGCACAAAAUUAUAUGUGGGCAAAACAACACAGGAACUCAGACGGAGAAUAUCAGUGCCAUUAAUCCGGAAAAGGACACUUCACUUUAUAGACAUAUCACGUAUACUCAUAGUGGAAAUCUAGAAGUCCUAAAAUUUUGGGGACAUAGACAGGAUCCAUUGUGCGUCACAUUUUUCCUUCCUUCUGACAGAUCAGAAGAAGGGUCAAAUAAAUGAUGAUGCAACGCUGAACGCUGAAGCCAAAUCGUUUUUUCCGACCGAAAUACAUCACUAAAUGUUUUUCCACAUAUACCUGCAACAGUGAACGCUGAAUAUAUUUUGCUUUUGUACUGAAAUAAUAAUAACUGCAGAAGUUAAAUGCAUAUCUAUUUUUCGUUUUGGACUGAAAGAUGCCACUUAAACCCUUUCACCACAAAUAAAUGCAACAGUGAAGUGCGUACAUAUUUUUUUUCCUACUUCUAUUGUUAUACAGGGUAAUCUUAUCAUUCUAUGUCAUUGUGAAGGCCAAUGUCUACCAUUUCUGAGCACCAGGGUGACACAAGGUUGGGGUGGUGUGAAGAAUAAGUGGUAGAGGAUGAGUGGUUGGAAGAUUAUCGGCAAAUAAAGUGUUGACCAAGGAUAACCACAGAAGGAUAGGCUUCCUCGUAAUGUAGAUCUGCAGUGAUCAGUGGAUCAUGGAUCGGCCUCUAUAUAUCUGUCAUAUAAACUUGUCUUGUGCGUUGCAAAUGAUUAGGGUUAUUGUUCUCUACCGCCAUGAUCAGUUUCGCUUAUCACUAAUUGUGACAUUUUGCUUUUAUAAAUUUAUUAACACAUUUAUAGGUUGUGCAGGAAGAAAUUUCUGAUCAGAAAAUCUGUAGAAUUUUGAUUUAUUGUAAUGUGACUCUUUCCUUACAUCAGAUCUGGAGGUUCCAGAGUCAGUUUCUGUAAUCAGGCUUAGCUUCUCCGUCUUCUAUUAAUAAAUCGGUGAGAUGCAGGGAUGAGA